AGAGAGUCAAAGAGUGCU
Molecule: small nuclear RNA, 18 nt
Filed under: Arabidopsis thaliana (thale cress)
Lineage: Eukaryota; Viridiplantae; Streptophyta; Magnoliopsida; Brassicales; Brassicaceae
Description: snRNA_06653
Source: RNAcentral